GAUGAAGAACGUAGCGAAAUGUGAUAAGUAAUGUGAAUUGCAGAAUCCAGUGAAUCAUCGAAUCUUUGAACGCACAUUGCGCCCGCCAGCAUUCUGGCGGGCAUGCCUGUUCGAGCGUCAUUUCAACCCUCGACCUCCCUUUGGGGAAGUCGGCGUUGGGGACCGGCAGCACACCGCCGGCCCUGAAAUGGAGUGGCGGCCCGUCCGCGGCGACCUCUGCGUAGUAAUCCAACUCGCACCGGAACCCCGACGCGGCCACGCCGUAAAACACCCAACUUCUGAACGUUGACCUCGAAUCAGGUAGGACUACCCGCUGAACUUAAGCAUAUCAAUAAGCGGAGGA
RNAcentral lists this unclassified non-coding RNA (343 nucleotides) under soil metagenome. Its description in RNAcentral is "partial contains 5.8S ribosomal RNA, internal transcribed spacer 2, and large subunit ribosomal RNA". The stretch from base 1 to 120 matches the Rfam family "5.8S ribosomal RNA", at positions 35 to 154 of the family's 154-position model. The record is from RNAcentral.